CCCUUCGGGGUGUGACUGCGUACCUUUUGUAUAAUGGGUCAGCGACUUAUAUUCUGUAGCAAGGUUAACCGUAUAGGGGAGCCGGAGGGAAACCGAGUCUUAACCGGGCGUUAAGUUGCAGGGUAUAGACCCGAAACCCGGUGAUCUAGCCAUGGGCAGGUUGAAGGUUGGGUAACACUAACUGGAGGACCGAACCGACUAAUGUUGAAAAAUUAGCGGAUGACCUGUGGCUGGGGGUGAAAGGCCAAUCAAACCGGGAGAUAGCUGGUUCUCCCCGAAAGCUAUUUAGGUAGCGCCUCGUGAAUUCAUCUCCGGGGGUAGAGCACUGUUUCGGCUAGGGGGCCAUCCCGGCUUACCAACCCGAUGCAAACUGCGAAUACCGGAGAAUGUUAUCACGGGAGACACACGGCGGGUGCUAACGUCCGUCGUGAAGAGGGAAACAACCCAGACCGCCAGCUAAGGUCCCAAAGUCAUGGUUAAGUGGGAAACGAUGUGGGAAGGCCCAGACAGCCAGGAUGUUGGCUUAGAAGCAGCCAUCAUUUAAAGAAAGCGUAAUAGCUCACUGGUCGAGUCGGCCUGCGCGGAAGAUGUAACGGGGCUAAACCAUGCACCGAAGCUGCGGCAGCGAACGUAUCACCCAAGACAACUUUACGGAGUUGACGAUUGACGGAGCGAAGCGACGUCAAAGCGUUCAUUAAAGUCGAGUUGGCUUAGGGAUACGUUCGUUGGGUAGGGGAGCGUUCUGUAAGCCUGUGAAGGUGUGUCGUGAGGC
Molecule: ribosomal RNA, 772 nt
Filed under: Salmonella enterica subsp. enterica serovar Typhimurium
Lineage: Bacteria; Pseudomonadati; Pseudomonadota; Gammaproteobacteria; Enterobacterales; Enterobacteriaceae
Description: partial 23S ribosomal RNA
Rfam family: Bacterial large subunit ribosomal RNA
Source: RNAcentral